This 245-nucleotide ribosomal RNA is filed under the name uncultured bacterium. RNAcentral's name for it is "partial 16S ribosomal RNA". It matches the Rfam family "Bacterial small subunit ribosomal RNA", at positions 524 to 768 of the family's 1533-position model. The record is from RNAcentral.
UACGGAGGGAGCAAGCGUUGUCCGGAUUUACUGGGCGUAAAGAGCGCGUAGGCCGUCCAUUAAGUCGCCUGUGAAAACGCUGGGCUCAACCCAGCGCUGUCAGUCGAUACUGGUGGACUCGAGUCCGGGAGAGGGAAGUGGAAUUGCUGGUGUAGCGGUGGAAUGCGUAGAUAUCAGCAAGAACACCGGUGGCGAAGGCGGCUUCCUGGACCGGUACUGACGCUGAGGCGCGAAAGCUAGGGGAG